RNAcentral lists this small nuclear RNA (20 nucleotides) under Arabidopsis thaliana (thale cress). Its description in RNAcentral is "snRNA_15012". Lineage: Eukaryota; Viridiplantae; Streptophyta; Magnoliopsida; Brassicales; Brassicaceae. The record is from RNAcentral.
ACGAGAUUCCCACUGUCCCU